AUUUGCUGUUACCUGCAUUGCGAAUUCUUAGGCUAGGUUCCCGUCCCCACUUUCUCCAUUUUAGGGUUAGGGUCCAAGCAACUAGGCGUGGAAAGCAUAUCCCUUACUCGCAUUCGCCUAAUCGAGCAGAAGGCCACUCGGUGAUCAUCCUAUAACUGGCUAGAGUGAGUGUCACAUUACCUAUAACAGGCUAGUUUGAAUGCAGUAAUUAAGGGCACAGGUUUCUAUGGUUCUAUUUAGUCCUGAUUGAUGAGGGUUGUCAAAGACCGGAUCUUUGCACUUCGCAACCCUAUCAGAGUAUGUGCUUAGUGCAAGGCCUCAUAGAAGUU
This 329-nucleotide long non-coding RNA is filed under the name Musa acuminata (dwarf banana). Its description in RNAcentral is "long non-coding RNA (MACU_LNC008484)". Lineage: Eukaryota; Viridiplantae; Streptophyta; Magnoliopsida; Zingiberales; Musaceae. The record is from RNAcentral.